GACGAACGCUGGCGGCGUGCUUAACACAUGCAAGUCGAACGGAAAGGCCCUGCUUUUGUGGGGUGCUCGAGUGGCGAACGGGUGAGUAACACGUGAGUAACCUGCCCUUGACUUUGGGAUAACUUCAGGAAACUGGGGCUAAUACCGGAUAGGAGCUCCUGCUGCAUGGUGGGGGUUGGAAAGUUUCGGCGGUUGGGGAUGGACUCGCGGCUUAUCAGCUUGUUGGUGGGGUAGUGGCUUACCAAGGCUUUGACGGGUAGCCGGCCUGAGAGGGUGACCGGCCACAUUGGGACUGAGAUACGGCCCAGACUCCUACGGGAGGCAGCAGUGGGGAAUAUUGCACAAUGGGCGGAAGCCUGAUGCAGCAAUUCCGCGUGCGGGAUGACGGCCUUCGGGUUGUAAACCGCUUUCGCCUGUGACGAAGCGUGAGUGACGGUAAUGGGUAAAGAAGCACCGGCUAACUACGUG
RNAcentral lists this ribosomal RNA (468 nucleotides) under uncultured bacterium. Its description in RNAcentral is "partial 16S ribosomal RNA". It matches the Rfam family "Bacterial small subunit ribosomal RNA", at positions 28 to 507 of the family's 1533-position model. The record is from RNAcentral.